RNAcentral lists this ribosomal RNA (465 nucleotides) under Vreelandella stevensii. RNAcentral describes it as "partial 16S ribosomal RNA". It matches the Rfam family "Bacterial small subunit ribosomal RNA", at positions 338 to 795 of the family's 1533-position model. The record is from RNAcentral. Lineage: Bacteria; Pseudomonadati; Pseudomonadota; Gammaproteobacteria; Oceanospirillales; Halomonadaceae.
CCUACGGGUGGCUGCAGUGGGGAAUAUUGGACAAUGGGGGCAACCCUGAUCCAGCCAUGCCGCGUGUGUGAAGAAGGCCCUCGGGUUGUAAAGCACUUUCAGUGAGGAAGAACGCCUGGUGGUUAAUACCCAUCAGGAAAGACAUCACUCACAGAAGAAGCACCGGCUAACUCCGUGCCAGCAGCCGCGGUAAUACGGAGGGUGCGAGCGGUAAUCGGAAUUACUGGGCGUAAAGCGCGCGUAGGUGGCUUGAUAAGCCGGGUGGGAAAGCCCCGGGCUCAACCUGGGAACGGCAUCCGGAACUGUCAAGCUAGAGUGCAGGAGAGGAAGGUAGAAUUCCCGGUGUAGCGGUGAAAUGCGUAGAGAUCGGGAGGAAUACCAGUGGCGAAGGCGGCCUUCUGGACUGAAACUGACACUGAGGUGCGAAAGCGUGGGUAGCAAACAGGAUUAGAUACCCUGGUAGUC